Molecule: long non-coding RNA, 2628 nt
Organism: Grus americana (Whooping crane)
Lineage: Eukaryota; Metazoa; Chordata; Aves; Gruiformes; Gruidae
Exons: 3
Source: RefSeq, a predicted model, not a curated record
UCGGAGCAAGCCCCCAUGGUGGCUUGUCCCCAUGGUGGCUUGUCCCCACCACCGAGGUUAGCACCUCUAGCCAGAGCAGUGCCCCAAAACUCAUUGGGGUGCAAGGUCCCGGUGCCGGUGGGUGCCAGCUGGAUCCAGGGUGUCGAUGUUCAUCGUCUCCCUGCUUGGUAUCCAGAGGAAAACCCCCAAAAUAAUACCUGCGGAGAGCAACCUGCUGCUGGGCUGAGGCCAAGGGCUGCACUGUGCUCAGCCUGAUUGGCCACCGCUGGCCCGCGCCCGCGGGAUCUUAACUCUUUCUUCCCAUCGGGGCGGAGAGGAACCCCACAUCCUCCAACGGGGACCGUGGCGUCUGACGGGAUGUCUGAGUAUCAAAGGAGUCGCCGGUCGCAGUCUCACAAACAUAGCAUCAUCAAUGGUGGGCUAAUAGCAGCAAGAACAGUCAAAUAGCAGUAAUGCUAACAAUAAUCAAAAGUGGGUUACGCAUGCAUUUAAACCAUGGCAAAACACACUGCUGGGGUGCAUGGGAAAGGUGUAAAUUAUACCAAAAUUGAUUCCUGCAGAGACUCAAGCUCUUAAUUUUGCCCUUUGACUUCAGAAGCAAAGACUUCCAAGAAACAGGCUGGUUUAUACAGUGCUAGAAGAGAUUCCCAGCAGCAGGAUGCAUGGCACACAAUUUGGAAAUAGCCACAUGUAUAGAAAACCCUUUCCACCCCAAGGACAGCUCUUGCAAUAACCAGAGCUUGUUCCAGCAGCUUCACUGGGGCAUGGACCUUCACCCUUGGUGAAGCUGCCCAGGCAAAGGAGCCCUUGGCCGCGCGGCCUGGAGGUGCAGCAUCCCCCAGGCUCAGCAGAUCUCGCAGGAGGCAGGCAGUUUCCUGACAUUACAGCUGGUUAAGGCUGUGCUUGUUCUCUCUUUGGGAGUUGUGUUAUGUCUUAGUGCUUCCCACGGAUGAAUAAAUCAUGAUGGAAGAGGCUUUGGAGAAUGCUGGAAACUCCAGGAAAACCCGUGCUCGAGGCGCUCUCAGGCAACUCAUAAACUUUUGAACCCUGAACUCCCAUUUCUAGCCCAGAUCUCCAGUCACUGAGACAUAAACCUCUCUACCCACCAAGCUCACCUCCACCAAAGCCCCUCCACCACCUCUGAGAGCCAACAGAGACCCCCCAGUUCGCAGCCAGCACCCCAUCAUGCAGGGACUCCUGUGCAGCCAGCUGCAUCCAGGCCACUGUGUUUCCCUGUCCCCAUGGGACAGAAGAACCAAGACUUGGACUCAUCUCUUUGGGGGGUUUUAUCCAUCUCCGCAGUGCCCUUUUUGGGCUGGAGAAUCACAGGUCUAACAAUGGAUUCUUAACUGACAUUUAAAUUAGAUGAGAUCAUCGUUAUCAACGCAACUUGCAGGAGAUUUUCUUUCCAAGAUACGUUUGGCUGCAUGGCUCGUCUCACGGGGACCCUGGGUAGCUAACGGGGAGCAGUCUAUCCAUCAGAGCAUCUCUGAAGCCUCAUGAAAGGGGCUGUCCAGAUGGAGGGGGACCUGGAACGUUCGGCUGAGAGCAUGAGGUCCGGCUCACCCAUUUGGGGGAAGUCUGGAGCCUUGAGUUGCGUGGAGUCACAGAUGGGAAGCAGAAACCAGUUGGGACCUGAAUACUGAACUUGGACUCAAAUACAGUUAGUGUUCUACAGAAACACUCAAACAGGAUGACCUCCAGCCUUGUAUUACAGGUUUUGGGGUUACCCACCUAAAAAGCCAUCCCUACUGAGCCAACUGGACCCAAAACUACAUCCCUCAAAGGACCCUCAAAGCCAGUUAGCUCCUUCCCCCUUUCUCCCUCAGUUCAACAGUGGGGAAGUCUGUCGUUGCAUAUGGUUCAUGUUGAGGAUGUGCCCAGCUCCUAACUUAAUCCUUUCAGGUCAGAAAUUAUGGCUGUGGUUUUCCCCGUCCAACCCUGGUAGAUGGCUCGGGGUCAGCCCUGUAUCCAGCAAAAUGCAACACACCCCACUCUGGUUUCACCCACGGGGCCAUGGCAGCAAUGCCAGUCUUUGCCCCAAAACAGCCAAGACAAACACAGCAGCCCCCAGGCAGCACCCCCAGACAUCAGAGGCUCCUCUGUCUCAGGGAGGGCACCACCAGCUCCCCCAUUUCAUACACAUCCCUUCCCUCGAUGGGAGGAAGGUCUACCCUGACUUUCCCAGCUCCAGCAGCUCACGCUGGGCCAGCAGCCCUUCUCCAAACCUCCCUUUCCGCACCAGGCUGAAGCUGUUCAUGACCGCAAUGGCUGUGCCAAGAAGGUGAUGGAUCUCCAACACAAGUCCUGAGGCUGCAAAGUGUUUAGCAGCACAGAUCAGGUUAAAGUUAUGGGGGUUUGCAGCUUUGGGUAGGAGCCACAACAAAAGAAGUGCCUGUAGCUUCAAAAAAAGAAAAGCAGCAGAUCGUCUUUCUCUACUCAAUGGAUCCCUUGGACUGGCUGCUGUCAAAUGGGACCCAGGGGACUCCUGUUGAGUUUUUCUCUCUUGCAGGAAAUUUCUCCUAUUUGAAAAUUAUUUCUGCGGAAAUGUUCUGGGGUUUGGGGGGUUUUUUAUGGAGGUGAUUUUUUUUUUCCAGUGAAAUUGGUUUUUUUCAAUGCCUUCUCCUU